RNAcentral lists this ribosomal RNA (468 nucleotides) under uncultured bacterium. RNAcentral's name for it is "partial 16S ribosomal RNA". It matches the Rfam family "Bacterial small subunit ribosomal RNA", at positions 28 to 507 of the family's 1533-position model. The record is from RNAcentral.
GACGAACGCUGGCGGCGUGCUUAACACAUGCAAGUCGAACGGAAAGGCCCUGCUUUUGUGGGGUGCUCGAGUGGCGAACGGGUGAGUAACACGUGAGUAACCUGCCCUUGACUUUGGGAUAACUUCAGGAAACUGGGGCUAAUACCGGAUAGGAGCUCCUGCUGCAUGGGGGGGGUUGGAAAGUUUCGGCGGUUGGGGAUGGACUCGCGGCUUAUCAGCUUGUUGGUGGGGUAGUGGCUUACCAAGGCUUUGACGGGUAGCCGGCCUGGGAGGGGGACCGGCCACAAUGGGACUGCGAUACGGACCAGACUCCUACGGGAGGCAGAAGUGGGGAAUAUUGCACAAUGGGCGGAAGCCUGAUGCAGCAACGCCGCGUGCGGGAUAACGGCCUUCGGGUUGUAAACCGCUUUCGCCUGUGACGAAGCGUGAGUGACGGUAAUGGGUAAAGAAGCACCGGCUAACUACGUG